AUGGGGCUACUCGGCAUCAUCCGAAAGAUCAAGGUCAAAGAGAAGGAGAUGUGCAUUCUCAUGGUGGGUCUGGACAACUCGGGGAAGACGACGAUCGUGCUUAAGGUCAAUGGGAAGGACAUGAGCGUCAUAAACCCCACCCUCGGCUUCAACAUCAAGACCGUCAAUUAUCACAAAUACUCCUUGAACAUAUGGGACAAGACUAUCCGGUCUUAUUGGAGGAAUUACUUUGAGCAGACUGGUGGACUAGUUUGGGUGCUUGAUAGUUUGGAUAUUCGUAGGCUUGAUGAUUGCCUACUAAUCAUGAUCUCAAAUUCUCAAGGAAAAAUGCCAAUGGGUGUUAGUAAGAGGGUGGACGGAAGAUGGCACAGGCAAAUUACCUCCGGCCAAAAUUUGUUAGAUUCGUCUGGAUACAUCCAACAACAAAUUCGGGAAACAUGA
Molecule: ribosomal RNA, 441 nt
Filed under: Triticum aestivum (bread wheat)
Lineage: Eukaryota; Viridiplantae; Streptophyta; Magnoliopsida; Poales; Poaceae
Description: partial small subunit ribosomal RNA
Source: RNAcentral